This 356-nucleotide long non-coding RNA is filed under the name Brassica napus (rape). Its description in RNAcentral is "long non-coding RNA (BNAP_LNC020548)". Lineage: Eukaryota; Viridiplantae; Streptophyta; Magnoliopsida; Brassicales; Brassicaceae. The record is from RNAcentral.
ACAUUUCUAUGUUUACUCAUUUCUAUCUAACUAAUUUUAAUUCAUUACAGCCAAGUUCACAAUCAAACAGUACACAAAGAAACAUUAAGAAACAAAGAGACAUUUCUGAACAAUAUAUUUACCGAGACAAGAAAGAUUCAGACACAAGAGGAUUCGACCAAAAACUCUUCAUAUUUAUCAAACUCAUUCAACACACUUCCAAUCAAUUAUAUUUAUCACAUAAGCUAAUUCAAUUCAAUUCAGUUCCAAUCAAUUCAAUUCAGUCCCAACCAUAAUCUUACACUAAACCAUCAGUUCCAAUCAAUUCAUCACAAAAGCUAAUUCAAUUCAAUUCAGUUCAUUAUAUUUCCUAGCAG